CCUACGGGAGGCAGCAGUGAGGAAUAUUGGUCAAUGGGCGCGAGCCUGAACCAGCCAAGUCGCGUGAGGGAAGACGGUCCUAUGGAUUGUAAACCUCUUUUGUCGGGGAGCAAAAGACGCCACGCGUGGCGUUCCGAGAGUACCCGAAGAAAAAGCAUCGGCUAACUCCGUGCCAGCAGCCGCGGUAAUACGGAGGAUGCGAGCGUUAUCCGGAUUUAUUGGGUUAAAAGGGUGCGCAGGCGGAAGAUCAAGUCAGCGGGAAAAUUGAGAGGCUCAACCUCUUCGAGCCGUUGAAACUGGUUUUCUUGAGUGAGCGAGAAGUAUGCGGAAUGCGUGGGGUAGCGGUGAAAUGCAUAGAUAUCACGCAGAACUCCGAUUGCGAAGGCAGCAUACCGGCGCUCAACUGACGCUCAGGCACGAAAGUGUGGGUAUCGAACAGGAUUAGAUACCCGAGUAGUC
RNAcentral lists this ribosomal RNA (459 nucleotides) under uncultured bacterium. RNAcentral describes it as "partial 16S ribosomal RNA". It matches the Rfam family "Bacterial small subunit ribosomal RNA", at positions 338 to 795 of the family's 1533-position model. The record is from RNAcentral.